Long non-coding RNA from Bos indicus x Bos taurus (hybrid cattle), 610 nucleotides. Lineage: Eukaryota; Metazoa; Chordata; Mammalia; Artiodactyla; Bovidae. The record is from Ensembl.
GCUGUGUUUGGAAUUAAUGGGUUCAGCUUCAUUCUGAGCACCGGGGAAGGCUAUUUUAGAAAGCAACUUCCCAGGCUGCGACUGGUCUUCACUGAUGUGGCAAACCCAACCUCUGAGCAGACGGUCUUCAAAUAGAACUGGCCCGGCGUCUGGAAGGCACAGCGGGGCCGCCCCUUUCAGGGCGCAACCCCUGGUGUCCCCCAGCCCUGGGUGACGUCCCGCCUCGCCCUGCCCCCAUCCUGGCUGGCUGGAGGUGUCCUCCAUCCACAGUAGCAGGAAGGCGGUGUGGGGGCGGGGGAGGGCGAGAUCCCUCCGAAAUGUGACAAAGGGAACAGCGCCAGGCUUCUGCCCAACAGCACGACCAAGCGCAUCCCUCCCCCAGGUGACACAAGAUGAAUGCUGAAUCCUAGAAAAAUGGUCAGAAGAGGGACCAGAGUUCAGCCUGUCUGAUCUGGGAUGUGAAUGGACCCCUUGCGCCUUCUGACAUACUGGGAGGUGAUAAAUAAGGUGAAUGAAAUUGUAAACAAGAAGCUCAUGUUGGCUCACUAUAACUAUGGUUCCUCUAGGAUGACUGCAAAACACUGAAAAUAAAAUUCUGUACCCCAGAUCA